This is a long non-coding RNA of Artibeus jamaicensis (Jamaican fruit-eating bat), 614 nucleotides long. RefSeq lists it as uncharacterized. NCBI's taxonomy places the organism in Eukaryota, Metazoa, Chordata, Mammalia, Chiroptera, Phyllostomidae. The record is from RefSeq and is a predicted model, not a curated record. The transcript has 3 exons.
CAGAAAGUGAACCAAGACAAAUACUUCAUGUAGUGCAGUAUGUCCACACAGAGCUGAAAAACAUAUCUUUUGUGUUUCACAGAAUCCCUAAAAUUGAAGUAAACUUAAAACAGCCUACAAGGGAAAUACUGUCAACUAAGGGAAAACUGGUAACUGCUCCUGAAUUCUGCUUUCCAACGCAUGGCUGGCCCCUCUCCUCCUGGCUCCUACCCGGACCUCUCCAGCGGGCCCACCUCACCAUGGGGAAAUGCUGACGGCACUCAGUUCCUGAGGACGGGACUUUGGGAGAUCAGCUAAUUUGGUAUCCUGAAACUGAAGCUUCCUCAGAACUUUGACAGAUCCAGUAGUUUGUACAAGAUCAUGAAUUACAUAAAAUCAUUUUUAUUCUUAUGAUUAUUAUUUUUCCUGUUUAUCCAAUGGCUAUCAAAGUAAAAUAUUCACUUUGCGUGCUCCAUUGAAAAUGUACUGCCUAUUCAUUGCUGCUCUUAUCAGUAUUUUCCAUGAAUCCAGUUUAGAAAUAAAAUGUACUAUUGUUGUUUUUCCUUGUAUUUGUUUUUGAUAUUGUAAUUGGAGCCUAUUCAAAAGGAAGAAGGAGACCAAGCAUUGUCUGAACA